GGGCCCUAAUCCCAAAUGACUGGUGUCCUUAUAGAAAGCAAAAGAGACACCAGGGAUGUAUGCACAGAGAAAGGUCAUGUGAGGAUGCUAUGAGGACGUAGUUUACUGCAAGGAAAGAGGUCUUAGGAGAAAUCAACCCUCCUGGCACCUGCCCUUGGACUUGCAGCCCCCAGAAUGGUCUUUGCUGUUGAAUGGAGAAGAUGCCGUAGGAGAACAAGAAUGGAAACAUAGAGACCAAUUAGGAAGCUGUUGGUCCAGGGAAGAAAGGAUGAGGAUUUGAACUUGGUAUGACCUGAAUGAGAGCAGUAGUAGUGGAAGCAGUCAUUUCUUUGUAGCCCUGUAUCAUAUUCCACUGGCUGUACCAUAGCUUGUUACCUGUUUAUCUACUGAAGGGCAUCUUCGUUGCUUCCGAAUCUUGGAAAUUACAAAUAAAGCUGCUAUGUAAAUUCAUGCACAGCUGAGGCUACUGGCCUUCUUGUUUGCAGCCCGAACUGAAUCAGAAGCCACUGGAAUAUUUGGAUGAGGCGGGCCCAGAAACCCAAGAAUCUCUUCUCGUCAGUGCCACCCCGUGGGUUAGCCCCGCCUGCUUGCGUUUUAGGAGGCUACGUCAGCUGGUGCAGACGUGCUUCAUAGAACGUGUGCCAAAUCUCCUAAGCGACUAGUUCCAUCACUCAAGGCUGACCAAAGAUUCCCGUCCUUUUCAAACUCUUGUGCUUCUCCCCUCCUCCCACGGAAUUUAUUUUCCUGCUGACCUACCAGGGAUGCAGGCAAUGUCUUUGUCUCCCUUACUGUGCGGUUUUUCAUCCU
Suricata suricatta (meerkat) is the source of this 807-nucleotide long non-coding RNA. RefSeq lists it as uncharacterized. The record is from RefSeq and is a predicted model, not a curated record. NCBI's taxonomy places the organism in Eukaryota, Metazoa, Chordata, Mammalia, Carnivora, Herpestidae. The transcript is spliced from 4 exons.